CUUCUCAUUAGUGGUUGAAAGGAAGUGACGUGUCAGGGGCAGGCUCUUAACCGAGUGGUGCAGAUUUGUUGGGGGCGUCACCUAGAGACUGUGUUAGCCGCUAGAUUUGUAGGGGGAAAAGCCUGGAGAUGCUGAUCUUGUUACUAUGGAUGCUGGAAACUUUAGCUAGGGGCUUAACCACAGAAUUAUGCUCUGAGAGUAAAACAUGGAAGGGGAUACUUACAACAAUGUAAUUGACAUGUUUUUUGAUGCAGAAAAUAUCCUCUUCUAGAGAAAGGGAAGCAAAAUCAAAGAGGUGUUGUGACCUGUCUGAAGUCACAGGGAAAAUGCCAGCAAAUCCCGUGUCAAACACACAACCAAGCCCACUACACACUUAAGCACUUGUGAGCAAUAUCUGCCCAAUCUUACUUGUCGAAAGUCUCUGCCUCUUUCAAGUCUCCUCUGAACAACCGAAGCAUUUCCCAAUUUCAUUCUGCUUCUCCAUACACAUUGUUUGGGAUUUUCACAUAUUAAACAAGUCACAUGAAACUGUCAAUUGUAGGAGAAACGUGUGA
Mus musculus (house mouse) is the source of this 554-nucleotide long non-coding RNA. RefSeq annotates it as predicted gene, 35186. The record is from RefSeq and is a predicted model, not a curated record. Lineage: Eukaryota; Metazoa; Chordata; Mammalia; Rodentia; Muridae. The transcript is spliced from 4 exons.